AAUGCCUAGGAAUCUGCCUGGUAGUGGGGGAUAACGUUCGGAAACGGACGCUAAUACCGCAUACGUCCUACGGGAGAAAGCAGGGGACCUUCGGGCCUUGCGCUAUCAGAUGAGCCUAGGUCGGAUUAGCUAGUUGGUGAGGUAAUGGCUCACCAAGGUGACGAUCCGUAACUGGUCUGAGAGGAUGAUCAGUCACACUGGAACUGAGACACGGUCCAGACUCCUACGGGAGGCAGCAGUGGGGAAUAUUGGACAAUGGGCGAAAGCCUGAUCCAGCCAUGCCGCGUGUGUGAAGAAGGUCUUCGGAUUGUAAAGCACUUUAAGUUGGGAGGAAGGGUUGUAGAUUAAUACUCUGCAAUUUUGACGUUACCGACAGAAUAAGCACCGGCUAACUCUGUGCCAGCAGCCGCGGUAAUACAGAGGGUGCAAGCGUUAAUCGGAAUUACUGGGCGUAAAGCGCGCGUAGGUGGUUUGUUAAGUUGGAUGUGAAAUCCCCGGGCUCAACCUGGGAACUGCAUUCAAAACUGACUGACUAGAGUAUGGUAGAGGGUGGUGGAAUUUCCUGUGUAGCGGUGAAAUGCGUAGAUAUAGGAAGG
RNAcentral lists this ribosomal RNA (596 nucleotides) under uncultured bacterium. Its description in RNAcentral is "bacterial SSU rRNA". It matches the Rfam family "Bacterial small subunit ribosomal RNA", at positions 112 to 704 of the family's 1533-position model. The record is from RNAcentral.